RNAcentral lists this ribosomal RNA (484 nucleotides) under uncultured bacterium. Its description in RNAcentral is "partial 16S ribosomal RNA". It matches the Rfam family "Bacterial small subunit ribosomal RNA", at positions 29 to 507 of the family's 1533-position model. The record is from RNAcentral.
AUUGAACGCUGGCGGCAUGCUUUACACAUGCAAGUCCAACGGCAGCGCGGGCUUCGGCCUGGCGGCGAGUGGCGAACGGGUGAGUAAUACAUCGGAACGUGCCCCGGAGUGGGGGAUAGCUCGGCGAAAGCCGGAUUAAUACCGCAUACGACCUGAGGGUGAAAGCGAGGGAUCUUCGGACCUCGCGCUAUUGGAGCGGCCGAUGGGGGAUUAGCGCGUUGGUGGGGUAAAGGCCUACCAAGGCGACUAUCUGUAGCUGGUCUGAGAGGACGACCAGCCACACUGGCACUGAGACACGGCCCAGACUCCUACGGGAGGCAGCAGUGGGGAAUGUUGGACAAUGGGCGAAAGCCUGAUCCAGCAGUGCCGCGUGUGUGAUGAAGGCCUUCGGGUUGUAAAGCACUUUUGGCGGGAACGAAAAGGACUGUGCCAAGACCACGGUUGGAUGACGGUACCCGCAGAAUAAGCACCGGCUAACUACGUG